This 295-nucleotide long non-coding RNA is filed under the name Prunus persica (peach). Its description in RNAcentral is "long non-coding RNA (PPER_LNC000640)". The record is from RNAcentral. Lineage: Eukaryota; Viridiplantae; Streptophyta; Magnoliopsida; Rosales; Rosaceae.
UGAGUUUGUCGUUGGGGGCAAUUUUCGGGGCCUUCAUGUACCUGACAAUAGUCGCUUCGAAGAGUGCCUUGAUAUAAGGGAGAGGGAUUUCAUCUCCGAAAAAUGAGGGGGCAAUUGGGUUGUGGGUCCUUUAGACCUUGCCAAGCCUAUCUCAUACGAUUCCUAUCUCUUCCUUGAUCAUAGCUUUUAUUGCCUCUCUCAGGUCGAGCUUGUAGGCGAGAACGAUGGGUUAGUUCGUCGUUUGGCUGUUGGUUUCAGCGAAGUGAUCUUUUCUUUUGUGCGAGUUGUGACUGGC